UGGGGAAUAUUGCACAAUGGAGGGAACUCUGAUGCAGCGACGCCGCGUGAACGAAGAAGGCUUUCGAGUCGUAAAGUUCUUUUAUAUGGGAAGAUAAUGACGGUACCAUAAGAAGAAGCCCCGGCUAACUACGUGCCAGCAGCCGCGGUAAUACGUAGGGGGCUAGCGUUGUCCGGAAUCACUGGGCGUAAAGGGUUCGCAGGCGGAAAUGCAAGUCAGGUGUAAAAGGCAGUAGCUUAACUACUGUAAGCAUUUGAAACUGCAUAUCUUGAGAAGAGUAGAGGUAAGUGGAAUUUUUAGUGUAGCGGUGAAAUGCGUAGAUAUUAAAAAGAAUACCGGUGGCGAAGGCGACUUACUGGGCUCAUUCUGACGCUGAGGAACGAAAGCGUGGGUAGCGAACAGG
Molecule: ribosomal RNA, 403 nt
Filed under: bacterium
Lineage: Bacteria
Description: partial 16S ribosomal RNA
Rfam family: Bacterial small subunit ribosomal RNA
Source: RNAcentral